AUCUUCUUUGAAGGUAUGCUUAAGGAGGGGCUUGCGACACAUUAGUUAGUUGGCAGGGUAAAGGCCUACCAAGACUAUGAUGUGUAGCUGGACUGAGAGGUUGAACAGCCACAUUGGGACUGAGACACGGCCCAAACUCCUACGGGAGGCAGCAGUAGGGAAUUUUCGGCAAUGGAGGAAACUCUGACCGAGCAACGCCGCGUGAACGAUGAAGUACCUCGGUAUGUAAAGUUCUUUUAUUAAGGAAGAAAAAAGAGUGGAAAAACUCCCUUGACGGUACUUAAUGAAUAAGCCCCGGCUAAUUAUGUGCCAGCAGCCGCGGUAAUACAUAAGGGGCGAGCGUUAUCCGGAAUUAUUGGGCGUAAAGGGUGCGUAGGCGGUUUAAUAAGUCUAUAGUUUAAUUUCAGUGCUUAACGCUGUUGUGCUAUAGAAACUGUUUUACUAGAGUGAGAUAGAGGCAAGCGGAAUUCCAUGUGUAGCGGUAAAAUGCGUAAAUAUAUGGAGGAACACCAGAGGCGUAGGCGGCUUGCUGGGUCUUUACUGACGCUGAGGCACGAAAGCGUGGGGAGCAAACAGGAUUAGAUACCCUGGUAGUCCACGCCGUAAACGAUGAGUACUAAGUGUCGGGUAAAACUGGUACUGAAGUUAACACAUUAAGUACUCCGCCUGAGUAGUACGUACGCAAGUAUGAAACUUAAAGGAAUUGACGGGACUCCGCACAAGCGGUGGAUCAUGUUGUUUAAUUCGAAGAUACACG
This 757-nucleotide ribosomal RNA is filed under the name Candidatus Phytoplasma pruni. RNAcentral's name for it is "bacterial SSU rRNA". It matches the Rfam family "Bacterial small subunit ribosomal RNA", at positions 193 to 963 of the family's 1533-position model. The record is from RNAcentral. Lineage: Bacteria; Bacillati; Mycoplasmatota; Mollicutes; Acholeplasmatales; Acholeplasmataceae.